AGCUAUUUAGCUUAAAGUAAAGUUUUUAUUUUGAAAAUAAGAGAUUAAGGAAACUUAUUAGCUA
This 64-nucleotide transfer RNA is filed under the name Vaejovis smithi. RNAcentral's name for it is "tRNA-Ser". It matches the Rfam family "tRNA". From Rfam's summary of the family: Transfer RNA (tRNA) molecules are approximately 80 nucleotides in length. Their secondary structure includes four short double-helical elements and three loops (D, anti-codon, and T loops). The record is from RNAcentral. Lineage: Eukaryota; Metazoa; Arthropoda; Arachnida; Scorpiones; Vaejovidae.